AUUAGCGUUUGCCUGCAGAUGACCAUUAUUAGUCAAUCAUUUCAAAUUGAUGGGCAGCGAAGUGAAUGAAUAAAUCAAAACUUUCGAAUUCCUUUAGUCCGGUAUUUCAUUCCUUCGUCCAUCAGGUCCGUGAUGGAAUUAUUGCCGAACCAGAAUUUUAUUCUAUGGCUUGAGCUUCGGUAGUUGAAAGCUCUUCAAUUGGUACUUCUGUAGAGGUCGGCGAAGAUGAACCCUUUAUGUUGCUAUUUGAUGUUCAUCAGAUGGACUUCGGUAAACCGUAUUUUGGGCCUUUAUUGGUCUUAUUAUAAUUCCUUUUGUCCUGAACCGAUGCCAUUUAUAGUUUCCUAUUAAACCUCCUGUUUAAUAAAAAACUAGGGGGCAAUGUUGGGUCGUGAUAUUUCUCCUAUUCGGCCGAAUGGAUUGGGCCUACUUAUUCAGUUAGUCCAUU
RNAcentral lists this long non-coding RNA (448 nucleotides) under Panax ginseng (ginseng). RNAcentral describes it as "long non-coding RNA (PGIN_LNC016637)". The record is from RNAcentral. Lineage: Eukaryota; Viridiplantae; Streptophyta; Magnoliopsida; Apiales; Araliaceae.